RNAcentral lists this ribosomal RNA (250 nucleotides) under uncultured bacterium. RNAcentral describes it as "partial 16S ribosomal RNA". It matches the Rfam family "Bacterial small subunit ribosomal RNA", at positions 524 to 773 of the family's 1533-position model. The record is from RNAcentral.
UACGUAGGGCGCGAGCGUUAUCCGGAAUUAUUGGGCGUAAAGAGCUCGUAGGCGGUUUGUCACGUCUGCUGUGGAAACUGGAGGCUCAACCUCCAGCCUGCAGUGGGUACGGGCAGACUAGAGUGCGGUAGGGGAGAUUGGAAUUCCUGGUGUAGCGGUGGAAUGCGCAGAUAUCAGGAGGAACACCGAUGGCGAAGGCAGAUCUCUGGGCCGUAACUGACGCUGAGGAGCGAAAGCAUGGGGAGCGAAC